AGCUUUGCGCAGUGGCAGUAUCGUAGCCAAUGAGGUUUAUCCGAGGCGCGAUUAUUGCUAAUUGAAAACUUUUCCCAACACUAAUAAUCUACAUAUAUGUGUCAAUAUGAUUUUCUAAUAUUUUUUGUAAAG
Small nuclear RNA from Panthera leo (lion), 132 nucleotides. Its record names the gene U4. It matches the Rfam family "U4 spliceosomal RNA". Rfam says of the family: U4 small nuclear RNA (U4 snRNA) is a component of the major U2-dependent spliceosome. The structure of U4 snRNA from yeast and human has been reported. Lineage: Eukaryota; Metazoa; Chordata; Mammalia; Carnivora; Felidae. The record is from Ensembl.